This is a non-coding RNA of Cyanistes caeruleus (blue tit), 616 nucleotides long. NCBI's taxonomy places the organism in Eukaryota, Metazoa, Chordata, Aves, Passeriformes, Paridae. The record is from RefSeq and is a predicted model, not a curated record.
GACAGAUGAGUUUGUGCAAUGCUGUACCACAGUCUAUAGGGCUUCCACCUUGGUUCGGACUUCCCAAGCCCUUGGCAGGGGCUGCUGCAAUCUCUGCCCCUACAGGAUGUACAGCUCCCACCGGCAGCUUCUUUCAGUGAAAACUGGAUCUCUCGUGGCUACAAAGAGAGAGUACAUAACAAAAUAUCAGUGGGCAUCACAAAGGCUUGGCUUCCCCUCUUCCUCGUCCUGAAGGACACACACAGUAUGAUAAAAUCAAGAGAUUAGAGCCUGCUUAGGGUCAGCCCCUCUGGAAAUUUCCUCAACCUGCCAAGCAUCUCCCAAGUAGGAGUCAGCAGGCUACACCUCCCCAUGACUCCAGCACGACCCACAGGCGCUGAUGAUGGACAGCAGAAUUAGGCACUUCAUCCCAGUACUGCGCCCAGGCAAUGUGAAGAGGUGUGAAACCAUUCUGAAAAUGAGAAAAAACACACUUUUUGAUGCCUCAUGCCAUUCAAAAAUAGAAAUGAGUAUGGAAUUCACAUAAAAGAUUUUUCCAUUUUAAAGGAACAACUCCCAAAUUUAUUUUGGCAUUACUACAUUUUACAUGUAAUAGAAAGUAAAAAUUUAUGAGAAG